UACGAAGGGGGCUAGCGUUGUUCGGAAUCACUGGGCGUAAAGGGCGCGUAGGCGGCUGUUCAAGUCGGGGGUGAAAGCCUGUGGCUCAACCACAGAAUUGCCUUCGAUACUGGACGGCUCGAGACCGGAAGAGGUCAGUGGAACUGCGAGUGUAGAGGUGAAAUUCGUAGAUAUUCGCAAGAACACCAGUGGCGAAGGCGGCUGACUGGUCCGGUUCUGACGCUGAGGCGCGAAAGCGUGGGGGAGCAAACAGG
Molecule: ribosomal RNA, 254 nt
Filed under: uncultured bacterium
Lineage: Bacteria
Description: partial 16S ribosomal RNA
Rfam family: Bacterial small subunit ribosomal RNA
Source: RNAcentral